Molecule: small RNA, 27 nt
Filed under: Bombyx mori (domestic silkworm)
Lineage: Eukaryota; Metazoa; Arthropoda; Insecta; Lepidoptera; Bombycidae
Description: piRNA piR-bmo-1726003
Source: RNAcentral
UACAUUCACUUGGCUAAGAUCUGGUUC